GGGGAUUUAGCUCAGUGGUAGAGUGCUUGCCUAGCAAGCACAAAGCCCUGGGUUCGGUCCCCAGCUCCA
This 69-nucleotide transfer RNA is filed under the name Rattus norvegicus (Norway rat). It matches the Rfam family "tRNA". From Rfam's summary of the family: Transfer RNA (tRNA) molecules are approximately 80 nucleotides in length. Lineage: Eukaryota; Metazoa; Chordata; Mammalia; Rodentia; Muridae. The record is from Rfam by way of RNAcentral.